UACGUAGGGAGCAAGCGUUGUCCGGAAUCAUUGGGCGUAAAGCGCGCGUAGGUGGCUCUAUAAGUCCGUUGUGAAAGUCAAAGGCUCAACCUUUGAAAGCCGAUGGAUACUGUAGAGCUAGAGUCCGGAAGAGGCGAGUGGAAUUCCUGGUGUAGCGGUGGAAUGCGCAGAUAUCAGGAGGAACACCAAUAGCGAAGGCAGCUCGCUGGGACGUGACUGACACUGAGGCGCGAAAGCGUGGGGAGCGAACAGG
RNAcentral lists this ribosomal RNA (253 nucleotides) under uncultured bacterium. RNAcentral's name for it is "partial 16S ribosomal RNA". It matches the Rfam family "Bacterial small subunit ribosomal RNA", at positions 524 to 776 of the family's 1533-position model. The record is from RNAcentral.